Molecule: ribosomal RNA, 555 nt
Filed under: Leptospirillum ferriphilum
Lineage: Bacteria; Pseudomonadati; Nitrospirota; Nitrospiria; Nitrospirales; Nitrospiraceae
Description: bacterial SSU rRNA
Rfam family: Bacterial small subunit ribosomal RNA
Source: RNAcentral
GGGAGGCAGCAGUGAGGAAUAUUGCGCAAUGGGGGCAACCCUGACGCAGCAACGCCGCGUGUGGGAAGAAGGCUUUCGGGUUGUAAACCACUUUUGCCCGGGACGAAAGGGGGGACCUGAAUAAGGUUGCCCGAUGACGGUACCGGGAGAAUAAGCCACGGCUAACUCUGUGCCAGCAGCCGCGGUAAGACAGAGGUGGCAAGCGUUGUUCGGAGUUACUGGGCGUAAAGAGUCUGUAGGUGGUCUGUCAAGUCUUUGGUGAAAGGCCGUGGCUUAACCAUGGGAAUGCCAAAGAGACUGGCAGACUGGAGGCUGGGAGAGGGAAGCGGAAUUUCUGGUGUAGCGGUGAAAUGCGUAGAUAUCAGAAGGAAGGCCGGUGGCGAAGGCGGCUUCCUGGAACAGACCUGACACUGAGAGACGAAAGCGUGGGGAGCAAACAGGAUUAGAUACCCUGGUAGUCCACGCCCUAAACGAUGGGUACUAAGUGUGGGAGGGUUAAACCUCCCGUGCCGCAGCCAACGCAGUAAGUACCCCGCCUGGGGAGUACGGCCGCAA